Long non-coding RNA from Bufo gargarizans (Asiatic toad), 303 nucleotides. RefSeq lists it as uncharacterized. The record is from RefSeq and is a predicted model, not a curated record. Lineage: Eukaryota; Metazoa; Chordata; Amphibia; Anura; Bufonidae. The transcript is spliced from 3 exons.
ACAAGAUGGCGGAGAGUAUAAUAAAUCUCACCCUAGAGAUCCUCUUCCGGCUUACUGGAGAGGACUACACAGUAGUGAAGAAGACCUCUAGUGAGCGCUGUGAGGACCCUGUGUCUAAAAGAUGGGGAAGAACCCUGAGUUCAAUCAUGGAGCCUCCACCUCACCUCCUAAUACAUGAGGAAAUCAAUAGGGAGAAGAUCCUAGAACUCACCAACAAGAUGAUUGAGCUGCUGACUGGAGAGGUUCCUAUAAGGUGUCAGGAUGUCACUGUCUAUUUCUCCAUGGAGGAGUGGGAGUAUAUAG